CAUACCAUCUGAAAAUGUUUAAAACGGUCUUCUUUAUAGCCGCCUGCCUCACGAGGGUCCGGCCGCUCUGCCAGCGCCGCUGCGGGGGAGAAAUGCUGCCUAGCACGGCUUAACUGAGAAAUGAGCACCCGAUGUCCCGAUCCGAUGUUCUUACAGACAUUUAUUAACUCAAACGUAUUUAUACAUCGCAAAUAGCAUUGGUAUAAGACAAAUGAUGCGACUGCAAGUGUUUUAAAGUUCACCUACCUCCUAUUUAAAGUUUUCGUAAGGCUUUUCGUCUUCACGAGUCUUCCCGCCGGUCCGUCAGCCGCGUCGCGUUGAAAAAAUAUCCAAUUAAAGGGUAGAUAAAAGCAGCAUUAACUCGGCUAAUAUAAAAUUAAAUAUAAAUCUUACUUUGAUAGAUUAGGCCUAGAGUUUAUCCAUUGACACGCAGGUGCCCGUAAUAUAUAGCCCAAAUGUGGCCCACGUGGGACCCACAAAUAAACAAUAAUUGGCAACCUAACUGGGGCCCACAGUUUUAUCCAAGCUGGGGCCCAUAUUCAGCCCAUCAAAGUGCCCACUCUGAGCCCAUGCCCAGUUGAUGCCCAUAUAGCCAGAUAAAUCCCACAUGGGGCCCACAUGGACAUGUUGGCUGGGAUACUGUAUCUGGUUUUUGUUAUUCUUUAUAGUUCUUCGUUUUUUUAGGUUCAAGUUUGUGGAUCUUAUCGUCUGAAACGUCGAGGGUGUAUUUUGGAGCCAUCGUGAUUACAUCAGCUGAUUUUAGUCUAUUGGUAAUGUCACCUGCAACGGAGGUGUUUUGGACUCUUUUCUUGUGAUUGCAUCGUAGAGGUGGUAACAACAGUUUGUGGUCUGGAUCAUGUCAUCUGCAUUCCAGCUGGAGGCUUUUUUUGUGAUUGCCAUUGUAACAGGGAUAACAUCAACUGGUCACUGUAGCCACCAGAUCCAGUCCGUAUCCAGAUCAGAUGGUGGAUCAGCACCUAGAGACGACUUCUACAGCCCUGAACGUCAGCGGAGACCGGGACACAUAGAUGAGCCCCAGAGACAGAUCCCCAGUGAAGACCUCAUCUCCUAGAUGGCAAUCGGGACAGGACCACGGGAACCAGAUGAGUCCUCUGCACAAACUGACUCUGCUGCAGCAUGGAACAACCUGCUGGGUCAUUCUGAGAAUCAAACCCCGGAUGGCACAAAAUGCCAUCAGAGUCACAGAUCAGAUGGAAUUCUGGAAAGACGGUGCAAAGAAAAAGCAUCAGCCUGAAUCCCCUCAUGGUGUUUCUCAUCAGAGAGCUUGUCAACUUUGCCAAAAUUACUGAAGUUUAACUUUUACUGUACUAAUUUUUACUGUAUUUUAUUUCUGUGAAGUCUGUUUUGCCAUGCUGCAGAUACAAAG
Molecule: long non-coding RNA, 1387 nt
Organism: Onychostoma macrolepis
Lineage: Eukaryota; Metazoa; Chordata; Actinopteri; Cypriniformes; Cyprinidae
Exons: 5
Source: RefSeq, a predicted model, not a curated record